Molecule: RNA transcript, 2081 nt
Organism: Pelobates fuscus (common spadefoot toad)
Lineage: Eukaryota; Metazoa; Chordata; Amphibia; Anura; Pelobatidae
Exons: 3
Source: RefSeq, a predicted model, not a curated record
GCAAAACAUGUCUGGCAGUGGCCCACGUGUGCGGUGCAGGACUCGCAGCUCGGUGGCCCUGAUACAGCUAAUAGCGGGCAGAGAGUCUCCAUAACAGUGUGUGAGAGUGACAGCAUAGCCGCCCUGGGCCUGCACGGGUGGGAGGACAUCAUGUGCUAACCCCACGGCCAGCAGGGAAGCUCCAUUCACACCUCGUGUCACCGGCCGGAGUGCGCCGAGUACCUGUGCCCGUCAUGGCGAAAAGAAAUCUCGAGCAGCACCCGGUUACCCUCCGCUGCCCUCCCUGUAAGAAGCGGGCCUGCGAGCUGCCCCCAUUGUCAGACGAAUUGCCCCCGCAUGGCACGCGGCUCGGGGCCAAGAGGAAGCUGGAGUCUGACCCUGGGGUGCAGCUUCUCACCCCCUCGCCCUGUGCCAGCCCGGCAGACUGCACACUGCCUCCCAGCAAGAAACCGAGGGCGGCGCAGACUGAGGGCGAUAAAGCUCCUGUUUAUAAAUGCCAGGAUGAUGAAAAUUUCCGUGAAUACAAUUCAUACCAGUUUUGGAAAACUCCAUUACCAGACAUUGAUUUUUCAGAAAUAACAACUGAGACUACUGAGGACAAUAAAAAGGUUGCACUGAUCACCUCUACAGAUUUGAUACAGGACAUGGACAGCUGACCUUUUCUAGUGACUUCAAGACUUCUGAUGGUUUUGGGCAGCUCCAGAUUAUAACACUGAGAAGUAGUAGGCUUUUGUAUUCUAAUUUUGAAUAGUACAUUUUAGAAUAUUUCAUUUUUAUUCCUCCUCUAUUUCGCACAGUACCAAGCAGGAGUUUUAGUACACUUGUGUAGUUUUAGUACACUAGCUUUACUGCUUAAAUGAUAGAAAGCCAUGUUACUAAUCAAAGCAGAAUUCAGGAACUUUGUAAAUUGUUUAUGAAGCUUGUAUAUAAAAAGUGGUUGUGGUGGUUGGAGUAAACCAGAACUGCUGAGAGCUCAUCACAUCAGCUUAUGAAUCAAUGUUCGUCUGAACAAGGCGUAUCAUUUUAUGAAUGGGGUUCCUUUUAAUAUUUGUGCUGCUAAACCCUGGCCUGUUAACCCCUUAAGGACCAAACUUCUGGAAUAAAAGGGAAUCAUGACAUGUCAUGUGUCCUUAAGGGGUUAAACAUAGGUCCAAUAAAGCAGAUGUCAAAAUCCCAAAUUUGAAACGUAUGAGCACAUUCAUAAUUUGCCUCUGUAAUAUAAAAUGAAAACUGGCAAUUAAAUUCUAUUGUGACUGAGCACACAUUUUCUUUGACAUCAUUUUUUUUUUUUUUUUUUUUUUUUAAAUGGAUCUAAACAUAUAGUAUUUAAAUUAAGCAUACCCAAGUUCUUUAUUUGGUUUCCCCAUGACAUUUAUGUUUUGUAAUGUGGUUUUGAUUAAUCAAAUAUUUCCUUUUGUAGGACGAUGAACUCUUCCGUGAAUUCAAUUCACACCAAUUUUGGAAAACUCCAUUGCCAAACGUUGACUUUUCAGAAAUAGAGACUUGUGAGAACAGUAUAAUGGGUGCACCAAUCACCUCUACAGACAUAACAGAGAACAUGGACAGCUGAUGUGCAAUUUUUGAGACUGACUGCAAAAAUCUUUGACCAAUACCAGUUGACACCUGCCAGAAAUGUAAUUUUUGUAAAUUACACGUUUAACAGCGUGUAAGGUCAAAAUAAAAAAACAUGUUAUAAUGUACAAAACAUUACAAGUAUUAAAGCAAUGCUUAGGACCCUUUAAAAUUUAUAUAAGCUUUGGAUUGCUCUAAGCAGUCACCCUUUGCAAUAGCAACCCCAUAGACGUGAUAUUAGCUUGAAAAGUUUCAGUCCUGUUGUAAAGGCAUAAUAGCUGUGAUAGCCAUGCUUGUUUCUUGAGAUGAACUUCGUAAAGAUAUGUUACCAGGCAGGCAAUCCACCUUUUACGUACAAUAAGAAAUUCAAUCCAGAAUGCAAGCAAUUUUAUAUAAUACAUUGUUUAUAUAUUUUAAGUUUUGGUACUUCAUUCUCUAGGUUUGCAGACUUUUGGGGACAUUAUGGGACAGUAUCCAAUUGCAAAUUCAGAAGCAAUAUGACCUGUUAC